Molecule: long non-coding RNA, 696 nt
Organism: Corvus hawaiiensis (hawaiian crow)
Lineage: Eukaryota; Metazoa; Chordata; Aves; Passeriformes; Corvidae
Exons: 2
Source: RefSeq, a predicted model, not a curated record
UCCUCCCGCCUCAUCCCAAACCUGCCUCCCCUUCCCGCCCCCGGCAGGCUUCGGCCCCGGCUCCUCCUCCUCCCGGGGAGCCGGGAGUAGUCCCGGAGCUGCCGCAGGCAACGGGGCUGUGUCCCGGACUGGCCCUUUGCUUUUAAUGAAAGCGACUUUUUCUAUGCCCUAGACACGGGGCAGUCUGUCUCUCGGAACACAAAUCUACGCGCAGGACGACCGUGCCCACUGGUACAAACCAGAGAUAACGCCAUCCGGUGCCCGCCCCAGCACCACCGCAAAGAAAACCAGCGCCCCAGGGGCACGGGGGGUCGGCAGUAACAGGAGCCCACAGAUUACACAGAAGAGUUCCAUUCCACAGCAGCCAGAGAACUUCAACAGGAAUCUUGUGGUUCUACCACUGGGUGUCUGCUAUGUCUAAGAUGGUGAUGUUACUCUCUGGUUUUGCAGAUAUUUUGGUGUUUAAGCUUAACAACAUAUCUAGCUCUUUAUUUAUUUUUCUUACCUGCUGAGUUCAGAGAUUUUUCAUCCUCCAAAACGAGGUAACACAGGAAACUGUCAUGACCUGACACAGAAAGGUAUUUACAAAAUCAUGAUACGCAAUGGUCCCAAUGACCUCAAGAACAGGACAUCAUACAAGAAAAUACGUAAUUGUCUAUAAAUCAGUUUAAAAAUUAAAUCCAAUAUCUGGCAACA